Long non-coding RNA from Alligator mississippiensis (American alligator), 1106 nucleotides. RefSeq lists it as uncharacterized. Lineage: Eukaryota; Metazoa; Chordata; Crocodylia; Alligatoridae. The transcript has 5 exons. The record is from RefSeq and is a predicted model, not a curated record.
GAGUCACUUGUGUGUCAGGACAUUGCUGCACAAAAUGCCAGUUUGAUCUUGCAGGAAAGUUGUGUAGAGAUAUCGGUGAUGAGUGUGAUCUGCCAGAAUAUUGCAGCGGCGCGUCACAUCUGUGCCCAGAGGACGUGUUUAGACAAGACGGAAGUGCGUGUGGGAAAAGUGACAUCUGCUUCCAAGGGAAAUGCAAUAACCAUGACAGACAGUGCAAAGCUAUAUUUGGUGAAGGCAAGAUAUCUUAAUCUUUUCCUUCAACCACUUUUUUUCACAAUUCAUACGCUUUCUUGUGUGGAAUUAGUAACCUCCCAUUGCCAGGGUGCAUGGCGCUCAUGCAUGAGCCCACUCCUGCUGGAAGCCAGGUCCAGAAAUGAUGGGCAGAAGCUUUCUAAUUUCCAGUCAAAGUAUAUUCCUGGUUCAUUGAUACCUGUGUGCUCUUCUGCCAACAUGAUAUUUUGGCUUAAAAACCUCCGAUUCCUUGCUGUUUAUCCCCCUCCGUCUUUGUAGCAUAAGCCAACGUGUUUUCCCGUUAAGACAGUUCCGGACGAACCUGUCACGCAGGUGAUGUACGGGGCGGUUAUCUUCCACCUUGCAGUGAACUCUCUGCUCCGUCUUGACCUGUACAGGCGCCCGCCGCGCUCCAGAGAGUUGCUUCAGAGAAGUGAAUCUGCGAGGUGACCGGUGCGGUAACUGUGGUUGGGAUGGACUGGCGUACAAGAAAUGUGCUGAAAAGGAUAUUUUGUGUGGAAGAGUGCAGUGUGUUAAUGUUAAAAGCAUACCAGUAAAGGCAGAUGAGGAGACUACAGUCCAGACUCCCAUUAAUAAUACCAUUUGUUGGGGUAUAGACUUCCAUGUCGGGCCAGAUGUUCCUGAUGUGGGAUCGGUGAAAGACGGCACCCUGUGUGAUAAAGACCAGAUGUGUAUAAACAGAACCUGUGUCAGCACAAAUAUUCUGGAGUAUUACUGCCGUGAUGAGAAAUGCAACGGCCAAGGGAUUUGCAACAGCAACGGAAACUGCCACUGCGACUUUGGAUGGGCCCCCCCAUACUGUACAGAGAAAGGAUCUGGAGGAAGCCUUGACAGUGGCCCUCCUCCGUCUACCU